UAGACCCCUUUUCUUCCAUAUUUUCAAGAGAAAAUAAGUUCUGUUGGAGAUUCUUUGGUGUUAAAUAAGAAUAUCAAGUUAUUUUUCAAAGAUCAAGAUCUUUGGUAAAGUUCUUUCUACUAAAAAUCCAUUCUGUUUUUCUUUUUAUUUAAAGGCUAGAUCUUACGUCUUUAUGGUAAAAUUGUCAUUUUUUAUAUCUUAAGCGUGAUGUUUCAUUCAUGAUUUUAAUAACAUGCAUUUUUUUUUUUGUUUUAGGAGGUGAAACCUCCAAAGGGAAAGGGCAAAAAGUAAUGGAGGCUUGUGUAUUUUCUCCAUUUCAGAUAAUGUUAGGCCUUACAUUUAUGUUUUAUAUUAAAUGUGCCUCAAAAUCUUAUUUUUAUGCAAUAUAUGUAUAGAUCCAUGCCCAAGAUGCCAUAUUCAUGCACUUUGUGAAGCUACAUGAAAUUUAUGCUUGUAUUAUUAUGAAGUCAGAAUUUUCAACUGCUGUCGCUCUAAAUUUAUGUUUAAAAAUAAAGUUUCAAAGCCAUAUUAAGUGGUUAC
RNAcentral lists this long non-coding RNA (540 nucleotides) under Jatropha curcas. Its description in RNAcentral is "long non-coding RNA (JCUR_LNC002281)". Lineage: Eukaryota; Viridiplantae; Streptophyta; Magnoliopsida; Malpighiales; Euphorbiaceae. The record is from RNAcentral.